CCUACGGGGGGCAGCAGUGAGGAAUAUUGGUCAAUGGACGAGAGUCUGAACCAGCCAAGUAGCGUGAAGGAUGACUGCCCUAUGGGUUGUAAACUUCUUUUAUAAAGGAAUAAAACGAGGCACGUGUGCCUUUUUGCAUGUACUUUAUGAAUAAGGAUCGGCUAACUCCGUGCCAGCAGCCGCGGUAAUACGGGGGAUGCGAGCGUUAUCCGGAUUUAUUGGGUUUAAAGGGUGCGCAGGCGGAGGCACAAGUCAGCGGUAAAAUCGCGGGGCUAAACCCCGCUCCGCCGUUGAAACUGUGUCCCUUGAGUGUGCGAAGGGUAGGCGGAAUGCGUGGUGUAGCGGUGAAAUGCAUAGAUAUCACGAAGAACUCCGAUUGCGAAGGCAGCAUACCGGCGCUCAACUGACGCUCAUGCACGAAAGUGUGGGUAUCGAACAGGAUUAGAUACCCGGGUAGUC
Molecule: ribosomal RNA, 459 nt
Filed under: uncultured bacterium
Lineage: Bacteria
Description: partial 16S ribosomal RNA
Rfam family: Bacterial small subunit ribosomal RNA
Source: RNAcentral